GCUGCGAUGUCCGAGUGGUUAAGGAGAUUGACUCGAAAUCAAUUAGACUAUGCCCUCAUAGAUUCGAAUCCUGCUCGCUGCG
Molecule: transfer RNA, 82 nt
Filed under: Angiostrongylus costaricensis
Lineage: Eukaryota; Metazoa; Nematoda; Chromadorea; Rhabditida; Metastrongylidae
Rfam family: tRNA
About the family: Transfer RNA (tRNA) molecules are approximately 80 nucleotides in length. Their secondary structure includes four short double-helical elements and three loops (D, anti-codon, and T loops).
Source: Rfam by way of RNAcentral